CUUUUAAAGGAUCAAAGUUAAUUCCGU
RNAcentral lists this transfer RNA (27 nucleotides) under Egernia stokesii. Its description in RNAcentral is "partial tRNA-Leu". The record is from RNAcentral. Lineage: Eukaryota; Metazoa; Chordata; Lepidosauria; Squamata; Scincidae.